UAGGGAAUCUUCCACAAUGGACGAAAGUCUGAUGGAGCAACGCCGCGUGAGUGAUGAAGGGUUUCGGCUCGUAAAACUCUGUUGUUGGAGAAGAACGGGUGUCAGAGUAACUGUUGACAUCGUGACGGUAUCCAACCAGAAAGCCACGGCUAACUACGUGCCAGCAGCCGCGGUAAUACGUAGGUGGCAAGCGUUGUCCGGAUUUAUUGGGCGUAAAGCGAGCGCAGGCGGUUUUUUAGGUCUGAUGUGAAAGCCUUCGGCUUAACCGGAGAAGUGCAUCGGAAACCGGGAGACUUGAGUGCAGAAGAGGACAGUGGAACUCCAUGUGUAGCGGUGAAAUGCGUAGAUAUAUGGAAGAACACCAGUGGCGAAGGCGGCUGUCUGGUCUGCAACUGACGCUGAGGCUCGAAAGCAUGGGUAGCGAACAGGAUUAGAUACCCUGGUAGUCCAUGCCGUAAACGAUGAGUGCUAAGUGUUGGAGGGUUUUCCGCCCUUCAGUGCUGCAGUUAACGCAUUAAGCACUCCGCC
Molecule: ribosomal RNA, 528 nt
Filed under: uncultured bacterium
Lineage: Bacteria
Description: partial 16S ribosomal RNA
Rfam family: Bacterial small subunit ribosomal RNA
Source: RNAcentral